This is a long non-coding RNA of Photinus pyralis (common eastern firefly), 403 nucleotides long. RefSeq lists it as uncharacterized. The transcript is spliced from 2 exons. The record is from RefSeq and is a predicted model, not a curated record. NCBI's taxonomy places the organism in Eukaryota, Metazoa, Arthropoda, Insecta, Coleoptera, Lampyridae.
UUUUCCUUUUCAUUUAGAUUUUACAUUUUAGAGGUUAUUAAUCAUAACAAAAUGGCAUGUAAAACUCAAAUUCAAAUAGAAAUGUAUAAGAAUAAAAUCAGUCAAGGCACAAUAUGCGAAAGUAUCAAUUUGGACUCGAGUAAUCUUUCAGAUUAUGUGAAUGUUCUGCGUAGUGUUCAAAAAAGUGUUAAUAUGGAACUAACAAAGAUCGUAGAACAAGAUAGAAUUGAUCAUGUUCCAAUAGAUGAGGAAGAUAUCGAAGGCCUUGAAGAUGAUAGUGAUGAUGAAGUUACUAAAUGCAACAGUAAAAGAAAAUUAUCAUCUGAAAAGAUUAAGAAAAAGGUUAAAAAGUAGGUCUGUAAAUCAUGUAUCAGUUUAAAUAUAAUAAACGCCAUAACCAACA